Molecule: non-coding RNA, 74 nt
Organism: Podarcis lilfordi (Lilford's wall lizard)
Lineage: Eukaryota; Metazoa; Chordata; Lepidosauria; Squamata; Lacertidae
Source: the annotation of a GenBank genome assembly
GAAGAAUGGUAGCUCAGUGGAAGAGCACAUGUUUUGCAUGCAAGAGGUUCUAGGUUCAUCCUCUGGCAUCUUCA